This 459-nucleotide ribosomal RNA is filed under the name uncultured bacterium. RNAcentral's name for it is "partial 16S ribosomal RNA". It matches the Rfam family "Bacterial small subunit ribosomal RNA", at positions 339 to 795 of the family's 1533-position model. The record is from RNAcentral.
CCACGGGUGGCUGCAGUGAGGAAUAUUGGUCAAUGGGCGCGAGCCUGAACCAGCCAAGUCGCGUGAGGGAGGACGGCCCUACGGGUUGUAAACCUCUUUUGCCGGGGAGCAACGGGCGCCACGUGUGGCGUCACUGAGAGUACCCGGAGAAAAAGCAUCGGCUAACUCCGUGCCAGCAGCCGCGGUAAUACGGAGGAUGCGAGCGUUAUCCGGAUUUAUUGGGUUUAAAGGGUGCGUAGGCGGGUUAUCAAGUCAGCGGUAAAAUCGUGGAGCUCAACUCCAUCCAGCCGUUGAAACUGAUGAUCUUGAGUGGGCGAGAAGUAUGCGGAAUGCGUGGUGUAGCGGUGAAAUGCAUAGAUAUCACGCAGAACUCCGAUUGCGAAGGCAGCAUACCGGCGCCCGACUGACGCUGAAGCACGAAAGCGUGGGUAUCGAACAGGAUUAGAUACCCUAGUAGUC